Molecule: ribosomal RNA, 447 nt
Filed under: uncultured organism
Description: partial 16S ribosomal RNA
Rfam family: Bacterial small subunit ribosomal RNA
Source: RNAcentral
ACUCCUGCGGGAGGCAGCAGUGGGGAAUAUUGGACAAUGGGCGCAAGCCUGAUCCAGCCAUGCCGCGUGAGUGAUGAAGGCCCUAGGGUUGUAAAGCUCUUUCACCGGUGAAGAUAAUGACGGUAACCGGAGAAGAAGCCCCGGCUAACUUCGUGCCAGCAGCCGCGGUAAUACGAAGGGGGCUAGCGUUGUUCGGAUUUACUGGGCGUAAAGCGCACGUAGGCGGACUAUUAAGUCAGGGGUGAAAUCCCGGGGCUCAACCCCGGAACUGCCUUUGAUACUGGUAGUCUUGAGUUCGAGAGAGGUGAGUGGAAUUCCGAGUGUAGGGGUGAAAUUCGUAGAUAUUCGGAGGAACACCAGUGGCGAAGGCGGCUCACUGGCUCGAUACUGACGCUGAGGUGCGAAAGCGUGGGGAGCAAACAGGAUUAGAUACCCCUGUAGUCCCAU